GUGGACCUAUCAGUGACUAUGUGCUUGUUUAUUUGGGAUGCGGGUGGCGCUGUGGUCUAAAUUCCUCUUGGGCUUGCCGAUCAGAAGGUUGGUGGUUCGAAUCCCCGCAAAUGGUGAGCUCCUGUUGCUCUGUCCCAGCUCCUGCCAACCUAGCAGUUCAAAAGCACACCAGGGCAACUAGAUAAAUAGGUACUGCUGUGGUGGGAAGGUAAAUGGUGUUUCUGUGUGCUCUGGUUUCCAUCACGGUGUCCCAUUGUGCCAGAAAUGGCCACAUGACCUAAAAAGCUGCCUGCAGUUAAACGCUGGCUCCCUCGGCCUGAAGUGAAAGGAGCACCACAACUCCAUAGUCGUCUUUGAGUGGACUUAACCAUCCAGGGGUCCUUUACCUUUUUAAUAUAUACCACAGCUCUGUUUACUCCUGCUGCAAAUCGCAAUCCACACAUGUUCAGUCAGUGCUUGAAUUACAGGUGGGUAGCAUAGGGGAUCUGUUCCCAUUUCCUUUGGUGAUGGUCAUCCAUAGCUACAAUUUUUAGAAGACUGGGGAACAACAUGUUUCUGUUAUACCUGUGGAGGAGUCAGAGAUGAGACUUGUGGGUUUCAUUAAGAGUUCAGCUAUCUCCUGCCUCCUGGAUUUUGGGAGCUACUAUGUGAAAGACAUCCAGGAAGAGAGAGCCUCCUACCCUCUGGAUGUAACCAAAUGAGAAAGUUGUGAUGAGCUGAUUCAUAGUAGACCAGUAAUGGAUGAACUGAGAAUUUCCAGAACUGCUUAGCUAGCACAUCAUGAACCACAACUCCUGGCACCAGGUCAGUUCAGAGCUGUAACAUUUUCUGUCAGGGUAUCAACGCAAGUCCCAGCAUGAUUCUAGAUUUUUCUCAGGCACAUCAAAAUAGGCCUAAGGUUUUUUUUCUGUUUGCCUCUCUCUCUAUGUCUAUAGCCUUGCUAAGUAGCUUGUCUGAACAUACAAAUGGGUUCCCUGUUCCUAAAAAAUUAUUUUGUUUAAAGGCAAUUUCUUUCUGUGGUUAAAUUUCCGUCCACCCCAUCUGCUUUUCAUUAACAAGCUUGUAGCCUAAAGGCAAGAUUACCUCAUUCCAACUGGGAUAAAGUAAGUCAGGAUCUUUCCUGGGAUAAAAGCACAGGCUUAUUAAAUAUAGUAACCCCCCUCCCCUCCCAAUACUUAGGUUAUAAAAAUGUGUUUGGAUAUUUAGCUGAAGGGUGCAAUCUACCGAUAAUUCUCAACAGUGCUGGAAUGAGAGGCAGUGUUGAACUAUUGAAUUCAUUGUCAUAGGAUGUAGGAAUGGCCGUCCACUUGAAUGUGCUGAAAUUUUUCUCCAUCUCUGAUAAAACUGGAAUGGGUGAACUCAUGAAGCUGAAGUGUGGGAGAUUCGAGACAGAGAAGAGGAAACCUUCCUUUGCACAGGUGCAGCACAUAUUAAAACUUUGAAAUUCACUUCCACGAGAUGUGGUGAUGCCCAUUAAUGUAGGCGAGAUUCACAUGGCAAUUUAUUCCAUUUCCCUAACUGUUAAUUUGAGCUUUCACUGUUAAUAGUUGAGCUUUCACACAACAUAGAAGCCUCUUCCAGAGGGCAAUCUCAGCAUUCAUUUCUGUGUUGUUUGCAAGUAGGUUUUUUCUUCCUGGAAGCAAAUAACACAGAAAUGAGUGUCAUAUAUCCCACCAUAUUUCUGAAAAGGACUUUAAUGUUGUGGGAAAGUUCAAGUACAGUGGUACGUCUACUUACGGACAUGAUCCAUUCCAGGGUGCCGUUCGCACCCCGAAAAGUCCGUAAGUAGAGUACCACUUCUGUGUGUGCACGUGACGCAAUAGAGCAUUCCUGCACAUGCGCAAAACGCGCAGAUCGCUCCUGCGCAUGCGCGAAGUGGCGAACCUGGAAGUAAACACUUCCAGGUUUGCCGUGUUCGUAACAUGAAAAAACACAACGUGAAGCAAACACAACUCAAGGUAUGACUGUACAAUGCAGACAUUAAUAUAUGGUAACCACAUGUCCCCGUUUCCUGGGGACAGUCCCCAGAUUUACAAAUCUGUCCCCGGACAAAAUCCAUCCCCGGAAUGUCCCCGGAUUUCAUUUAAAGUCCCCGGAUUUAUAUUUUAAGUGUUGUAGAUUUAUUAGUAGGGAAUGAAUGUUGUGUGGUUGGUUCAACGGCUCAAGAAACAUCAUAUGGGGACUUCCGGUGAGGCAAAAUGGCAGGCGCCACGGCAGUGAGCAGCUCCUGAAGCUACUAGGCUGAGGCUGCUGCUGCCACUACUGAAGGGGAACCGUGGACACCCGGCACGUCAACCGGGGGAGCCAGUGCCCCCCCCGCGACCCAAAUCGAGCAGGGAGCGAGAGCGCCCGGCCAACUGCCCAGCGGCACUCCGGGGCCAGGAAAACCCUGGAGCCAACACAAAAGGAAAGGGGAAAAGGAGAAGGAGGAGAGAGAAAGAAGGAGAAAAAAGAAAGAAGUUCCAACUUUGCCGCGCCGCCACCACUGCCGCUGAGGAGAGAUAGGAGAGCACCGGGAGGGCAAGGAAACAUGACUGAGCCCAGGCCCGACCCGAGCCUACUCCACUGUGGCUAGCGCUCUAAGAGAGCAGGCUGGGGCCCAGAGGAAGGCCACGUGACAGAGGAGACCAC
Molecule: non-coding RNA, 2631 nt
Organism: Podarcis lilfordi (Lilford's wall lizard)
Lineage: Eukaryota; Metazoa; Chordata; Lepidosauria; Squamata; Lacertidae
Source: the annotation of a GenBank genome assembly